GGUCGAGUGAGGACUCUGGGUCACCUCCCACCCGUGUCUAUCGUACCUUGUUGCUUCGGCGGGCCCGCCGUUUCGACGGCCGCCGGGGAGGCCCUGCGCCCCCGGGCCCGCGCCCGCCGAAGACCCCAACAUGAACGCUGUUCUGAAAGUAUGCAGUCUGAGUUGAUUAUCGUAAUCAGUUAAAACUUUCAACAACGGAUCUCUUGGUUCCGGCAUCGAUGAAGAACGCAGCGAAAUGCGAUAAGUAAUGUGAAUUGCAGAAUUCAGUGAAUCAUCGAGUCUUUGAACGCACAUUGCGCCCCCUGGUAUUCCGGGGGGCAUGCCUGUCCGAGCGUCAUUGCUGCCCUCAAGCACGGCUUGUGUGUUGGGCCCCCGUCCCCCUCUCCCGGGGGACGGGCCCGAAAGGCAGCGGCGGCACCGCGUCCGGUCCUCGAGCGUAUGGGGCUUUGUCACCUGCUCUGUAGGCCCGGCCGGCGCCAGCCGACACCCAACUUUAUUUUUCUAAGGUUGACCUCGGAUCAGGUAGGGAUACCCGCUGAACUUAAGCAUAUCAAA
Molecule: ribosomal RNA, 555 nt
Filed under: fungal sp.
Lineage: Eukaryota; Fungi
Description: eukaryotic LSU rRNA
Rfam family: 5.8S ribosomal RNA (bases 184-337)
Source: RNAcentral